CCUACGGGAGGCAGCAGUGAGGAAUAUUGGUCAAUGGACGAGAGUCUGACCCAGCCAAGUAGCGUGAAGGAUGAAUGCCCUAUGGGUUGUAAACUUCUUUUAUAUGGGAAUAAAAUGUUCUACGUGUGUGAUUUUGUAUGUACCAUAUGAAUAAGGAUCGGCUAACUCCGUGACAGCAGCCGCGGUAAUACGGAGGAUCCGAGCGUUAUCCGGAUUUAUUGGGUUUAAAGGGAGCGUAGGUGGAUUGUUAAGUCAGUGGUGAAAGUUUGCGGCUCAACCGUAAAAUUGCAGUUGAACAUGUCAGGCGUGAGUACAGUAGAGGUAGGCGGAAUUCGUGGUGUAGCGGUGAAAUGCUUAGAUAUCACGAAGAACACCGAUUGCGAAGGCAGCUCACUGGACUGCAACUGACACUGAGGCUCGAAAGUGUGGGUAUCAAACAGGAUUAGAUACCCGAGUAGUC
Molecule: ribosomal RNA, 460 nt
Filed under: uncultured bacterium
Lineage: Bacteria
Description: partial 16S ribosomal RNA
Rfam family: Bacterial small subunit ribosomal RNA
Source: RNAcentral